CCCAGCUGUAACUGCCUAGGUUUUGUUGUACCUUAGGCAAGUGUUACACUGCUGGGAGAAAAGCAGCUAGUAGCUGGUGGGCAUUCAGGGCCUGGUUAAGGCCAAAUUUGUGUUAUCGAUACUAGUGUCCCAGCAU
This 136-nucleotide small nucleolar RNA is filed under the name Ochotona princeps (American pika). RNAcentral's name for it is "Small nucleolar RNA SNORA74 (ENSOPRG00000023040.1)". The record is from RNAcentral. Lineage: Eukaryota; Metazoa; Chordata; Mammalia; Lagomorpha; Ochotonidae.